GAUGAACGCUGGCGGCGUGCCUAAUACAUGCAAGUCGAGCGAACAGAUAAGGAGCUUGCUCCUUUGACGUUAGCGGCGGACGGGUGAGUAACACGCGGAUAACCUACCUAUAAGACUGGGAUAACUUCGGGAAACCGGAGCUAAUACCGGAUAACAUAUUGAACCGCAUGGUUCAAUAGUGAAAGGCGGCUUUGCUGUCACUUAUAGAUGGAUCCGCGCCGUAUUAGCUAGUUGGUAAGGUAACGGCUUACCAAGGCAACGAUACGUAGCCGACCUGAGAGGGUGAUCGGCCACACUGGAACUGAGACACGGUCCAGACUCCUACGGGAGGCAGCAGUAGGGAAUCUUCCGCAAUGGGCGAAAGCCUGACGGAGCAACGCCGCGUGAGUGAUGAAGGUCUUCGGAUCGUAAAACUCUGUUAUCAGGGAAGAACAAAUGUGUAAGUAACUGUGCACAUCUUGACGGUACCUGAUCAGAAAGCCACGGCUAACUACGUGCCAGCAGCCGCGGUAAUACGUAGGUGGCAAGCGUUAUCCGGAAUUAUUGGGCGUAAAGCGCGCGUAGGCGGUUUUUUAAGUCUGAUGUGAAAGCCCACGGCUCAACCGUGGAGGGUCAUUGGAAACUGGAAAACUUGAGUGCAGAAGAGGAAAGUGGAAUUCCAUGUGUAGCGGUGAAAUGCGCAGAGAUAUGGAGGAACACCAGUGGCGAAGGCGACUUUCUGGUCUGUAACUGACGCUGAUGUGCGAAAGCGUGGGGAUCAAACAGGAUUAGAUACCCUGGUAGUCCACGCCGUAAACGAUGAGUGCUAAGUGUUAGGGGGUUUCCGCCCCUUAGUGCUGCAGCUAACGCAUUAAGCACUCCGCCUGGGGAGUACGACCGCAAGGUUGAAACUCAAAGGAAUUGACGGGGACCCGCACAAGCGGUGGAGCAUGUGGUUUAAUUCGAAGCAACGCGAAGAACCUUACCAAAUCUUGACAUCCUUUGACCGCUCUAGAGAUAGAGUCUUCCCUUCGGGGGACAAAGUGACAGGUGGUGCAUGGUUGUCGUCAGCUCGUGUCGUGAGAUGUUGGGUUAAGUCCCGCAACGAGCGCAACCCUUAAGCUUAGUUGCCAUCAUUAAGUUGGGCACUCUAAGUUGACUGCCGGUGACAAACCGGAGGAAGGUGGGGAUGACGUCAAAUCAUCAUGCCCCUUAUGAUUUGGGCUACACACGUGCUACAAUGGACAAUACAAAGGGCAGCUAAACCGCGAGGUCAAGCAAAUCCCAUAAAGUUGUUCUUAGUUCGGAUUGUAGUCUGCAACUCGACUACAUGAAGCUGGAAUCGCUAGUAAUCGUAGAUCAGCAUGCUACGGUGAAUACGUUUCCCGGGUCU
RNAcentral lists this ribosomal RNA (1372 nucleotides) under uncultured bacterium. RNAcentral's name for it is "bacterial SSU rRNA". It matches the Rfam family "Bacterial small subunit ribosomal RNA", at positions 28 to 1381 of the family's 1533-position model. The record is from RNAcentral.